Molecule: ribosomal RNA, 465 nt
Filed under: Vreelandella stevensii
Lineage: Bacteria; Pseudomonadati; Pseudomonadota; Gammaproteobacteria; Oceanospirillales; Halomonadaceae
Description: partial 16S ribosomal RNA
Rfam family: Bacterial small subunit ribosomal RNA
Source: RNAcentral
CCUACGGGGGGCUGCAGUGGGGAAUAUUGGACAAUGGGCGAAAGCCUGAUCCAGCCAUGCCGCGUGUGUGAAGAAGGCCUUCGGGUUGUAAAGCACUUUCAGUGGGGAAGAAAGCCUUGGGGCUAAUACCCUCGAGGAAGGACAUCACCCACAGAAGAAGCACCGGCUAACUCCGUGCCAGCAACCGCGGUAAUACGGAGGGUGCGAGCGUUAAUCGGAAUUACUGGGCGUAAAGCGCGCGUAGGCGGUCUGAUAAGCCGGUUGUGAAAGCCCCGGGCUCAACCUGGGAACGGCAUCCGGAACUGUCAGGCUAGAGUGCAGGAGAGGAAGGUAGAAUUCCCGGUGUAGCGGUGAAAUGCGUAGAGAUCGGGAGGAAUACCAGUGGCGAAGGCGGCCUUCUGGACUGACACUGACGCUGAGGUGCGAAAGCGUGGGUAGCAAACAGGAUUAGAUACCCCAGUAGUC